This 421-nucleotide ribosomal RNA is filed under the name uncultured bacterium. RNAcentral describes it as "bacterial SSU rRNA". It matches the Rfam family "Bacterial small subunit ribosomal RNA", at positions 355 to 774 of the family's 1533-position model. The record is from RNAcentral.
UAAGGAAUAUUGGUCAAUGGACGCAAGUCUGAACCAGCCAUGCCGCGUGAAGGAUGAAGGUCCUCUGGAUUGUAAACUUCUUUUAUCUGGGACGAAAACGGGAUUUUUAUCUCAAUUGACGGCACCAGAGGAAUAAGCACCGGAUAACUCCGUGCCAGCAGCCGCGGUAAUACGGAGGGUGCGAGCGUUAUCCGGAUUUACUGGGUUUAAAGGGUGCGUAGGUGGGCUUAUAAGUCAGUGGUGAAAUCUCCGAGCUUAACUUGGAAACUGCCGUUGAUACUAUAGGUCUUGAAUUAUCUGGAGGUAAGCGGAAUAUGUCAUGUAGCGGUGAAAUGCUUAGAUAUGACAUAGAACACCAAUUGCGAAGGCAGCUUACUACAUAUAAAUUGACGCUGAGGCACGAAAGCGUGGGGAUCAAACA